GAGGUCCUGUAGUGUACGUAUAACACUAUUCGUUUUAAAGCCAACACUUUUUGAUAGGGAGCCUGACGUUUCAACUGGAAGUAAAAGCCUUUUUUAGGGACUUACGGAAGGUUGAGCAGGGCACCCACCUGCGAUUGCAGGCUUCAAAACUUGGUGAUCAUUACGGCACAACGGGGCUUCU
This 181-nucleotide non-coding RNA is filed under the name Salicibibacter cibarius. RNAcentral's name for it is "Salicibibacter sp. NKC5-3 6S RNA". It matches the Rfam family "6S / SsrS RNA". From Rfam's summary of the family: E. coli 6S RNA was the first non coding RNA to be sequenced, but its function was unknown until recently. Lineage: Bacteria; Bacillati; Bacillota; Bacilli; Caryophanales; Bacillaceae. The record is from RNAcentral.